GAUUAUGGCUCAGGACGAACGCUGGCGGCGUGCCUAACACAUGCAAGUCGAACGGAGUCAAGAAGCUGCUUUUGACUUAGUGGCGGACGGGUGAGUAACGCGUGAGUAACCUGCCUCUGAGAGGGGAAUAACGUUCUGAAAAGAACGCUAAUACCGCAUAAAGUAUCGAAGCCGCAUGACUUUGAUACCAAAGAAUUUAUCGCUCGGAGAUGGACUCGCGUCCGAUUAGUUAGUUGGUGAGGUAACGGCUCACCAAGACCGCGAUCGGUAGCCGGACUGAGAGGUUGAUCGGCCACAUUGGGACUGAGACACGGCCCAGACUCCUACGGGAGGCAGCAGGUGGGGGAUAUUGCGCAAUGGGGGCAACCCUGACGCCAGCAACGCCGCGUGAAGGAUGAAGGUUUUCGGAUUGUAAACUUCUUUUAUCAGGGACGAAGCUUGACGGUACCUGAUGAAUAAGCUCCGGCUAACUACGUGCCAGCAGCCGC
Molecule: ribosomal RNA, 488 nt
Filed under: uncultured bacterium
Lineage: Bacteria
Description: bacterial SSU rRNA
Rfam family: Bacterial small subunit ribosomal RNA
Source: RNAcentral